Danio aesculapii is the source of this 296-nucleotide long non-coding RNA. RefSeq lists it as uncharacterized. The record is from RefSeq and is a predicted model, not a curated record. Lineage: Eukaryota; Metazoa; Chordata; Actinopteri; Cypriniformes; Danionidae. The transcript is spliced from 4 exons.
AGGCAUAGGAUAAAGACCAGACAAGGAACCAGGAGACACCACGCUAGGAGAUACAUGGAAGGCACAGGAGACGCAAAUUGGAAUGGACCACAAAAAAAGGGAAUUACACACCUCAGGAGAGACAUGGAAGACACAGGAGACGUUGGAGUGGAGCAGAAGAAGGAAACUCACAAGGGGAAUGGUGGAGAUAUACUUUAACACCUGGAGCUCAGGAAGCAGAUUGGCAUGAAGCAUGUGGAGGAACAGGGAAGCACACAUCAGUAAUGACAAGUUCAUCGUGAUAAAUUUAAUUUGCC